UGUAUUGAUGCCUAGUUAAGGAGGAGGCCA
RNAcentral lists this non-coding RNA (30 nucleotides) under Mus musculus (house mouse). The record is from RNAcentral. Lineage: Eukaryota; Metazoa; Chordata; Mammalia; Rodentia; Muridae.